Ictidomys tridecemlineatus (thirteen-lined ground squirrel) is the source of this 72-nucleotide non-coding RNA. NCBI's taxonomy places the organism in Eukaryota, Metazoa, Chordata, Mammalia, Rodentia, Sciuridae. The record is from Rfam.
UGGGCUGGGGCUCAGCGGUAGAGCACUCCCCUGGCAUGUGAGAGGCGCUGGGUUCCAACCUCAGCACCACAA